AGGACCAAAACCUGGUGCAAAGCAUAAACAUGAAACUAAGUCUGAAGCGGAGCAAGACCUGAAAAGUACUGGAAAUGACCGGAAACCAGAACGAGCUUUUCCUGACAAAAAAACUAAAUAUAUUCAAAAGCCGAAACCUUCCCUGCCCAAACCCACAACCAACCAAUCAAAACCUGCCAACAACCCAAAACAUGUCCAAAUUAUAAAACAUGACCAGCGGCGACAACCUGAUGUUUUAUCAACUGAUCAAAACCUAAAAAACACUUCAAAACCCAAACAACACAGAGAGCAUGCAUCUAGUCCAAACAAGGCACCAGUUGAAAGGCCAAAGGCAAAUCAAAAGCCUGUCACUGUGACCCAGAGACAUCAUCAAAAACAUCCAGCGGUUAACACAACCCGUUUAGACAGAUAUUCUUCAAUCAACAAAAUGGAAGAGCCUGGACAAAUCCAAACUUCUGGUGAAAAUUCAAAACCUGACAGAAAACUGUUCCAUCCUUUUAAAACUACCAAAUCUGAUGGAAUUAGAAAACCUGAGAUGAGAACAGAAAGUGAAGAAACAAGACCAGAUCAAUCAUUUGAACGAAAUCAAGAUCAAUCACUUGUUCAUGAGCCCGAAUUAAGAAGAAGCGAAAUGACUAUUUUAACGCCAAAACCUUUCCAAAAUGCUGCAACUGAGUCUAUAGGAAAGGCAAAUGAAAACCCUUCAUUGGAGCUCAUACCCAAUGAAGGCUCAUCUACACAAAAAAAUCCACCUAAUCAAAGGUUUCCGCCCAAUAAGAAAAACACAACAAUUAACCAAAAGACUGUAACUGAGUCUAUGGAAGAAGAAGAUGAUGAUAAUCCCCUUUUUGAGCCCACAAGCAAAACCUCAACACCUCAACAGAAUAUGACACCUGAUCAAGCUAGUACAUUGCCAGAUCAAAAGCAAACACCCCAUCAGAAUAUAGUAUUAUUCAACCAAGAACCUGUAACUGAGCCUGACAAAAGUCCCAUCUCUAAACCUGCAUCUAAUGAAGACUCAACACCUCGAGGAAAAAUCCCCUCUGAUGGACUGGAUCAAAAAUUUAAACCCCAUCAGAUAAUUCCAGAAAUCAAGACAGAAACAGUAACUGAGUCCACAGAAAAAAUUAAAGAAAAUGUUUCAUUUGAGACUGUGUCUAAUCCAAAUUUGAUGCCGAAACAGAAAUUUACACCUGAUCGUACCAGUAGACUGCCAGACCAAACAUUUGUAUCUAGGGAAGACUCAACACCUGACCUUAAAAUCACACCAGAUCGAGCUAAUGCAUGGCCUCAUCAAAAGUUUAAACCAAACAAAAAAAUCCAAGCCAACAACCAAAAUCCUAACAGAGAGCCAAGUGAAGAGUCUGACAAAACUUUCCCAACCAAGCCUACAGAUAAUAAAGGCUCAACACCAGGACAGAGAAUAUCAUCAGAUCAAGUUAAUACAAAACCAGAUCAGAAGCUAACGCCCCAUCAGAACACGCCAGUAGUUCACCAAGAGUUUAUAACCGAGUCAAUUACAAAGGCUGAAGAAAAUCCAAAAUUUCGGCCUACAUCAAACAAAAACUCAACAUCUGAUGAGAAAAUUACAUCUCAUCCGGUUGAUACUCGUCCAAAUCAGAAGUUUAACCUGGGCAGGAAGAUCCCGAAACUUUCCCAAGAGCCGGUCACUGAAAUAGAAAGGUCUGGUGAAAAUCCGUCACAUUCUUCAAAAGCAAACAAAGACUCAACACCUGGACUGAAAACUGCACCAGAACAAGAUGACACGAUGUCCAAUCAAAGACUUAAACCCUACGAGGAGAUACCAACAAUGUAUCCAAAUCCAGUGACUGAUUCCAUAGAAAAGUUUAACAAAAAACCCACAUUCAAGCCUACAUUCAAUGGAGAGCCAACACCUGGACAGAAAAUCAAACAUGAUCACGGAAAUACGUGGUCAGAUCCAAGGUCUGAAUCCAAUCAGAAAGUCAAGACGGUCAAUCAAACACCAAGAAAUGAGUUCAUAGAAAGGGUUGAAGAAAAUUCUUCGUUUGGGUCCGUGUCCAAUCCAGAGUUGACACGAGGGCAGAAACCUGAUGAAGCUCGGACACUGCCGGAUAAAAAGCUUUCAACCCAUCAAGACAUACCAACAUUCAAUCAACAGUCUGUAACCGAGUCCAUGGAAAGGCCUGACAAAAAAUCCUCACCUGACUCUUCAACUAAUAAGGAAUCAACACCUGGACACAAAAUGACACCUGAUCAAAAUCAUACACGGCUGGAUCAAAUGUUCAAUCCCAGCAAGAAAAUCACCAA
This 2289-nucleotide long non-coding RNA is filed under the name Salarias fasciatus (jewelled blenny). RNAcentral's name for it is "lncRNA (ENSSFAG00005002431.1)". Lineage: Eukaryota; Metazoa; Chordata; Actinopteri; Blenniiformes; Blenniidae. The record is from RNAcentral.